UGCAAUCUUAUUAUAUGUGGUCAUUUUAUUUUAAAAAGUGCUUACGAGCUUAUCUAUUCUUGAUAAAAUAUCAGUCUUAAUUGUUAUCCUAUAUUUGAAAAUCUUUUGAGUUGGAAUGACCCUAAAUGUUAAAGAGUUUAAAUGACUUCUUACUUAUGAUGAAAGAUAUUUUAGAGUGAUUUCCGUAGAUAACAUUUGUCUUCAUUGUCACAAAUAUCCAUAAAUCAUUAUCAUAUGUUAAGAGACUAUGACGAUGUUAAGGAUUUUUAUAAUUAUCUUAUUAUACUGGAUCACUGGAGUAAGUUUUUUAGUCUUGUUAUGUAUAAUUGGUUAAAUUGUAAUUUAUGGAUGAUUUCUUUAGGGCUUCUUCAUGUAGUUCUACAUAUGGUAGACUUGUUGGUGAUACGUAUGGUAAAUUUGUCAAAAGUUUUUACAAUAUAAUUGGUUCUUGUUAUGCGGAUGGGUUGAACUUUGGACUUUAAAGUUGUGCAUUAAGCUUGCACAACAACUCUAUCUUACUUCAAUUAUUUUUAAAUUAGACUCUACACUUGUAGUCAAUAUAAUUCAGGCAGGAUCAUCCACAAAUAUGCACAUCCAACCUCUCAUCCAAUAGAUUAUUUAUCGUCUCUAAGGCUCAUAUUAGAGAACAUUAGUUACUGAUGUCUUUAUGGAGGUCAAUCGGCGAGCAAAUUAGUUAGCUAAUAAAGGUCACUCUGCUCAAUCUUUUAAAUGAGUUUUAGUUGAUUUUUUGUUUCCGGAAUUAAACAUUAUUAUGGUAGAUGAUUAAUUUUAAAAUUAAAUUCUCAAUCAAGAUUUAACGGUACACAUAUUUGAUUUUUGAUUUUAUAUCCGCACAAUAAUAUACAAAAGAAUUCAAAAUUUAAUGUAAAUGUUAUUUAGAAAAAUAAUUAACACUUUAUAUUUUCUAAGAAGAGUUUAAAAAU
This 944-nucleotide long non-coding RNA is filed under the name Cicer arietinum (chickpea). RNAcentral describes it as "long non-coding RNA (CARI_LNC001792)". The record is from RNAcentral. Lineage: Eukaryota; Viridiplantae; Streptophyta; Magnoliopsida; Fabales; Fabaceae.